This is a long non-coding RNA of Oxyura jamaicensis (ruddy duck), 337 nucleotides long. RefSeq lists it as uncharacterized. The transcript has 2 exons. The record is from RefSeq and is a predicted model, not a curated record. Lineage: Eukaryota; Metazoa; Chordata; Aves; Anseriformes; Anatidae.
CAGAAGAUCAUAAAAAUAUAUGUUGUGAGGAGACAGGUCACCAUGAAGAGGAACUCAUGCAGAAGUUGGAAAUGGAAAUCAAGGUGGCCAACAAAACAAAGGAACAGUAAGAGACAUGCAAAGAGUGGAGCAAGUUUCUCAUUUUAAAGAGGGACACUGAAUAAAAAGCUUGAAGCAUAGAAACAUUUUCUGUAGUAUCUCUGGGGUGGAAAAUGAAUUGGAAGAAUUACAAGCCUAUGGUUCACUGUGAGAAAAUUUAUGUGGGUGUUUAAGUGUUUUGAAAAUUUUACUCACUUUAUGAAAUAUUCAAAAGACAUGGGGAAAAAAAGCAAAAGGA